Molecule: ribosomal RNA, 468 nt
Filed under: uncultured bacterium
Lineage: Bacteria
Description: partial 16S ribosomal RNA
Rfam family: Bacterial small subunit ribosomal RNA
Source: RNAcentral
GACGAACGCUGGCGGCGUGCUUAAUACAUGCAAGUCGAACGGAAAGGCCCUGCUUUUGUGGGGUGCUCGAGUGGCGAACGGGUGAGUAACACGUGAGUAACCUGCCCUUGACUUUGGGAUAACUUCAGGAAACUGGGGCUAAUACCGGAUAGGAGCUCCUGCUGCAUGGUGGGGGCUGGAAAGUUUCGGCGGUUGGGGAUGGACUCGCGGCUUAUCAGCUUGUUGGUGGGGUAGUGGCUUACCAAGGCUUUGACGGGUAGCCGGCCUGAGAGGGUGACCGGCCACAUUGGGACUGAGAUACGGCCCAGACUCCUACGGGAGGCAGCAGUGGAGAAUAGUGCACAAUGGGCGGAAGCCUGAUGCAGCAACGCCGCGUGCGGGAUGACGGCCUUCGGGUUGUAAACCGCUUUCGCCUGUGACGAAGCGUGAGUGACGGUAAUGGGUAAAGAAGCACCGGCUAACUACGUG